ACGUUAGCGGCGGACGGGUGAGUAACACGUGGGUAACCUACCUAUAAGACUGGGAUAACUUCGGGAAACCGGAGCUAAUACCGGAUAAUAUUUCGAACCGCAUGGUUCGAUAGUGAAAGGUGGUUUUGCUAUCGCUUAUAGAUGGACCCGCGCCGUAUUAGCUAGUUGGUAAGGUAACGGCUUACCAAGGCGACGAUACGUAGCCGACCUGAGAGGGUGAUCGGCCACACUGGAACUGAGACACGGUCCAGACUCCUACGGGAGGCAGCAGAG
Molecule: ribosomal RNA, 273 nt
Filed under: uncultured Staphylococcus sp.
Lineage: Bacteria; Bacillati; Bacillota; Bacilli; Caryophanales; Staphylococcaceae
Description: partial 16S ribosomal RNA
Rfam family: Bacterial small subunit ribosomal RNA
Source: RNAcentral